GAUGAACGCUGGCGGCGUGCUUAACACAUGCAAGUCGAACGAAGCACUUUAUUUGAUUUCCUUCGGGACUGAUUAUUUUGUGACUGAGUGGCGGACGGGUGAGUAACGCGUGGGUAACCUGCCUUGUACAGGGGGAUAACAGUUGGAAACGGCUGCUAAUACCGCAUAAGCGCACGGCAUCGCAUGAUGCAGUGUGGAAAACUCCGGUGGUAUAAGAUGGACCCGCGUUGGAUUAGCUAGUUGGUGAGGUAACGGCCCACCAAGGCGACGAUCCAUAGCCGACCUGAGAGGGUGACCGGCCACAUUGGGACUGAGACACGGCCCAAACUCCUACGGGAGGCAGCAGUGGGGAAUAUUGCACAAUGGGCGAAAGCCUGAUGCAGCGACGCCGCGUGAGCGAAGAAGUAUUUCGGUAUGUAAAGCUCUAUCAGCAGGGAAGAUAAUGACGGUACCUGACUAAGAAGCAC
RNAcentral lists this ribosomal RNA (467 nucleotides) under uncultured bacterium. RNAcentral's name for it is "bacterial SSU rRNA". It matches the Rfam family "Bacterial small subunit ribosomal RNA", at positions 28 to 493 of the family's 1533-position model. The record is from RNAcentral.